RNAcentral lists this ribosomal RNA (271 nucleotides) under uncultured bacterium. RNAcentral's name for it is "partial 16S ribosomal RNA". It matches the Rfam family "Bacterial small subunit ribosomal RNA", at positions 524 to 794 of the family's 1533-position model. The record is from RNAcentral.
GACGAGGGAUCCUAGCGUUGUUCGGAAUCAUUGGGCGUAAAGGGUGCGUAGGUGGCUAUGUAAGUCAGUUGUGAAAUCCCCGGGCUCAACCCGGGAAGUGCUUCUGAUACUGCGUAGCUUGAAUAUUGGAGAGGUGAGUGGAAUUCCAGGUGUAGUGGUGAAAUACGUAGAUAUCUGGAGGAACACCGGCGGCGAAGGCGGCUCACUGGCCAUAUAUUGACACUGAAGCACGAAAGCGUGGGGAGCAAACAGGAUUAGAUACCCUGGUAGU